CCGGUAGGUCCCCCGUCUCUGUGCGGCCGACUACCGGCGCCGUGUCCCGUCAUUCGUGUGGCUUAUGUUACUGUUGCCUUUAAGUGCUUGCGUGCUGGUACCCGACCUACGGGAAGUGGUGCUUCAUACACGGUUGCCUCGCGGUGGACGCCUUUGGGUGUGCUGCUGCGGCCGAAUGGUGCUUGCGGCGUUGCCUCGUGGUGCUGGCACGUUUUUGUGCCUGCUUCUAUCAAGGCAGCCUCGCUUGCGCUGUUGGUUUCGGAUGUCGCUCACAAUAAAAGCUCAUGGCCCUUUUGGUUGCCUUGAACUGACCCUAAAUAAUAUGCCUUCCUCGUUGAGAACAACAGUGUUCCUCAACUCGUAGGUGGAUAUUGGCCCGCUCAAUUGCGACAACUGGCCUGGUGGUUGCCUCUGCCUUUCCACGCAAGUGGACGCGCGAACAACUACCGGCGCUGGACGUCAAAGAGG
RNAcentral lists this unclassified non-coding RNA (468 nucleotides) under Chascolytrum juergensii var. juergensii. Its description in RNAcentral is "partial external transcribed spacer". Lineage: Eukaryota; Viridiplantae; Streptophyta; Magnoliopsida; Poales; Poaceae. The record is from RNAcentral.